GAUGAACGCUGGCGGCGUGCCUAAUACAUGCAAGUCGAGCGAACGGACGAGAAGCUUGCUUUUCUGAUGUUAGCGGCGGACGGGUGAGUAACACGUGGAUAACCUACCUAUAAGACUGGGAUAACUUCGGGAAACCGGAGCUAAUACCGGAUAAUAUUUUGAACCGCAUGGUUCAAAAGUGAAAGACGGUCUUGCUGUCACUUAUAGAUGGAUCCGCGCUGCAUUAGCUAGUUGGUAAGGUAACGGCUUACCAAGGCAACGAUGCAUAGCCGACCUGAGAGGGUGAUCGGCCACACUGGAACUGAGACACGGUCCAGACUCCUACGGGAGGCAGCAGUAGGGAAUCUUCCGCAAUGGGCGAAAGCCUGACGGAGCAACGCCGCGUGAGUGAUGAAGGUCUUCGGAUCGUAAAACUCUGUUAUUAGGGAAGAACAUAUUUGUAAGUAACUGUGCACAUCUUGACGGUACCUAAUCAGAAAGCCACGGCUAACUACGUG
Molecule: ribosomal RNA, 497 nt
Filed under: uncultured bacterium
Lineage: Bacteria
Description: partial 16S ribosomal RNA
Rfam family: Bacterial small subunit ribosomal RNA
Source: RNAcentral